GAUGAAGAACGUAGCGAAAUGCGAUACUUGGUGUGAAUUGCAGAAUCCCGUGAACCAUCGAGUCUUUGAACGCAAGUUGCGCCUCAAGCCAUUAGGUUGAGGGCACGUCUGCCUGGGCGUCACAUAUCGUUGCCUGAUGCCAGUUUCCUCGUGAUGGGUGACUGUGCAGUGCGAAUGAUGGCUUCCCGUGAGCAUUGUUGCCUCAUGGUUGGUUGAAAAUUGAGUCCUUGGUAGGGAGCGCCGUGAUAGAUGGUGGUUGAGUGACGAACGAGACCCAAUCAUGUGAGACCCCUACCGAAUUUGGCCUUCAUGACCCACAUGCGUCUUUGGAACGCUCAUGACGAGACCUCAGGUCAGGCGGGGCUACCCGCUGAGUUUAAGCAUAUCAAUAAGCGGAGGA
This 400-nucleotide unclassified non-coding RNA is filed under the name soil metagenome. RNAcentral describes it as "partial contains 5.8S ribosomal RNA, internal transcribed spacer 2, and large subunit ribosomal RNA". The stretch from base 1 to 122 matches the Rfam family "5.8S ribosomal RNA", at positions 35 to 154 of the family's 154-position model. The record is from RNAcentral.